Non-coding RNA from Acanthosepion pharaonis, 99 nucleotides. NCBI's taxonomy places the organism in Eukaryota, Metazoa, Mollusca, Cephalopoda, Sepiida, Sepiidae. The record is from the annotation of a GenBank genome assembly.
UGUCCAUAUCAUGAUGAAACACUGAUUCCCGUACGAUCACCGAAGUUAAACAACAUCGUGCCUAGAUGGGUGAUCGCUUGGGAAUAGCAGGUGCUGUGA